UAUUGAGCUUUAGUUUUGUAAUAAAUAAUGAGUUUUUGGUUUGUCCUAUAAAUGUAUUUAUAUAGUACAAUUUUGUUGCGGAUUUUUAGUUGGGGCGACUGAGGAACAUAAAAAGCUUCCUUUAACAUAGGGUGGACUUUGUGCACUGGGUGAAGAGUGAGUUCUUUCCGGUUAAUGUGAUCCAGUAGUUUAUUGAUUAAAGGAAAAAGUUACCAUAGGGAUAACAGCGC
Molecule: ribosomal RNA, 230 nt
Filed under: Monodonta labio
Lineage: Eukaryota; Metazoa; Mollusca; Gastropoda; Trochida; Trochidae
Description: partial large subunit ribosomal RNA
Source: RNAcentral